RNAcentral lists this ribosomal RNA (274 nucleotides) under uncultured bacterium. RNAcentral's name for it is "partial 16S ribosomal RNA". It matches the Rfam family "Bacterial small subunit ribosomal RNA", at positions 523 to 796 of the family's 1533-position model. The record is from RNAcentral.
AUACGGAGGGUGCAAGCGUUAAUCGGAAUUACUGGGCGUAAAGCGUACGUAGGCGGUCCGUUAAGUUAGAUGUGAAAGCCCCGGGCUUAACCUGGGAACUGCAUUUAAAACUGGCGGACUAGAGUUGAGUAGAGGGGAGUGGAAUUUCAGGUGUAGCGGUGAAAUGCGUAGAGAUCUGAAGGAACACCAGUGGCGAAGGCGACUCCCUGGACUCGAACUGACGCUGAGGUACGAAAGCGUGGGUAGCACACGGGAUUAGAAACCCCAGUAGUCC